RNAcentral lists this ribosomal RNA (1236 nucleotides) under metagenome. RNAcentral describes it as "bacterial LSU rRNA". It matches the Rfam family "Bacterial large subunit ribosomal RNA", at positions 1564 to 2808 of the family's 2925-position model. The record is from RNAcentral.
UGAAUACGAGAUGCUACGGCGUCGAAGCAGUGUAUGUCAGACUUCCAAGAAAAGCUCGCAAUGUCAUAAAUAAAGAAUGCCUGUACCAUAACCGACACAGGUGGGUAGGUAGAGUAUACUAAGGGGCGCGAGAUAACUCUCUCUAAGGAACUCGGCAAAAUAACUCCGUAACUUCGGGAGAAGGAGUGCCUUCUUUAAGAAGGUUGCAAUAACAAGAUCCAAGCAACUGUUUAUCAAAAACACAGGUCUCCGCUAAGUCGUAAGACGAUGUAUGGGGGCUGACGCCUGCCCAGUGCCAGAAGGUUAAAGAAGUUGGUUAGCUUUUGCGAAGCUGAUGACUGAAGCCCUGGUGAACGGCGGCCGUAACGAUAACGGUCCUAAGGUAGCGAAAUUCCUUGUCGGGUAAGUUCCGACCCGCACGAAAGGCGUAAUGAUUUGGAUACUGUCUCGGAGAGGGACUCGGUGAAAUAGACUUGUCUGUGAAGAUGCGGACUACCUGCACCAGGACAGAAAGACCCUAUGAAGCUUUACUGUAACUUGAAAUUGAAAUUGGACUUUAUUUGCGCAGUAUAGGUGGAAGGCGUUGAAAGUAAUCUUGCGGGAUUAGUGGAGCCAUCAGUGAGAUACCACUCCUAUAAUGUUAGAUUUCUAACUUUGUAUCAUGAUCUGGUCAAAGAACAGUUUCAGGCGGGCAGUUUGACUGGGGCGGUCGCCUCCCAAAUGGUAACGGAGGCGUACAAAGGUUUCCUCUGAACGGGUAGAAAUCGUAUCUAGAGUGUAAAGGCAUAAGGAAGCUUGACUGUGAGACCUACAAGUCGAGCAGGGACGAAAGUCGGUCUUAGUGAUCUGACGGUGCUGAGUGGAAAGGCCGUCACUCAACGGAUAAAAGUUACUCUAAGGAUAACAGGCUGAUCUCCCCCAAGAGUUCACAUCGACGGGGAGGUUUGGCACCUCGAUGUCGGCUCAUCGCAUCCUGGGGCGGUAGUACGUCCCAAGGGUUGGGCUGUUCGCCCAUGAAAGCGGUACGCGAGCUGGGUUCAGAACGUCGUGAGACAGUUCGGUCCAUAUCCGGUGUAGGCGUUAGAAUAUUGAGAGGAGCCUUCUUUAGUACGAGAGGACCGAGAAGGACAUACCUCUGGUGUACCAGUUAUCGUGCCAACGGUAAACGCUGGGUAGCUAUGUAUGGAGAGGAUAACCGCUGAAAGCAUCUAAGUGGGAAGCCCACCUCAAGAUGAG